UAGGUUUCAUCGAAUCUUU
RNAcentral lists this small RNA (19 nucleotides) under Arabidopsis thaliana (thale cress). RNAcentral's name for it is "ATSL289200". Lineage: Eukaryota; Viridiplantae; Streptophyta; Magnoliopsida; Brassicales; Brassicaceae. The record is from RNAcentral.